GUAGGGAAUCUUCGGCAAUGGACGAAAGUCUGACCGAGCAACGCCGCGUGAGUGAAGAAGGUUUUCGGAUCGUAAAACUCUGUUGGUAGAGAAGAACGUUGGUGAGAGUGGAAAGCUCAUCAAGUGACGGUAACUACCCAGAAAGGGACGGCUAACUACGUGCCAGCAGCCGCGGUAAUACGUAGGUCCCGAGCGUUGUCCGGAUUUAUUGGGCGUAAAGCGAGCGCAGGUGGUUUAUUAAGUCUGGUGUAAAAGGCAGUGGCUCAACCAUUGUAUGCAUUGGAAACUGGUAGACUUGAGUGCAGGAGAGGAGAGUGGAAUUCCAUGUGUAGCGGUGAAAUGCGUAGAUAUAUGGAGGAACACCGGUGGCGAAAGCGGCUCUCUGGCCUGUAACUGACACUGAGGCUCGAAAGCGUGGGGAGCAAACAGGAUUAGAUACCCGUGUAGUCC
This 450-nucleotide ribosomal RNA is filed under the name uncultured bacterium. RNAcentral describes it as "partial 16S ribosomal RNA". It matches the Rfam family "Bacterial small subunit ribosomal RNA", at positions 354 to 796 of the family's 1533-position model. The record is from RNAcentral. RNAcentral also lists the same sequence under 1 other name.